RNAcentral lists this long non-coding RNA (375 nucleotides) under Lathyrus oleraceus (garden pea). RNAcentral's name for it is "Pisum sativum (pea) long non-coding RNA (PSAT_LNC039476)". The record is from RNAcentral. Lineage: Eukaryota; Viridiplantae; Streptophyta; Magnoliopsida; Fabales; Fabaceae.
CCAUAUUUGUGAUUGAACCGUAGAGCAGGCAAAGUAUUCGAGUAGGCGGACGACAAUCUGCAGAUUGUGUUAGUUGAAAAGUGUGAGGCUUAUCCCAACCCCUGGUAGAGGAAGUGUAGGAAGAUUUUGUUUUGAAUUGGGAUGAUACACAGUUGAGAAGAAUUACUAGCUUAUAAUGAGUUUGUUUCCACCCCUCUUAUUUUUCACUUCUAGAUGAUUGGACUAAGUUUUGGUUAACUUUUCUUGUUGUUUUCAAUUUUCAGUUAAGUUAAUGUGUGUGAUAUUCAAUCCAAGUCUUCUGUUUUUCGAUUCUAAAAAAAUUUCAUGGUUCUCUUCCCCUCCUACUAUUUUAACUGUAAUAUCCACACAUUCAUG